RNAcentral lists this non-coding RNA (87 nucleotides) under Thiopseudomonas alkaliphila. The record is from RNAcentral. Lineage: Bacteria; Pseudomonadati; Pseudomonadota; Gammaproteobacteria; Pseudomonadales; Pseudomonadaceae.
CUUUAUGGCGGGUUGUGCGCAGGACACCUUCGGGUGUGCCGGGUCCGUGAUCUCGGUCGACCAACCUGUGCAUAGCUCGCCACCCAU